CCCUUAGAUGUUCUGGGCUGCACGCGCGCUACACUGAAGCGUUCAACGAGUAUUUCACCUUGCCCGGGAGGGUUGGGUAAUCUUUUUAAAACGCUUCGUGAUGGGGAUAGAUUAUUGCAAUUAUUAAUCUUUAACGAGGAAUUCCUAGUAAGCGCGAGUCAUCAGCUCGUGCUGAUUACGUCCCUGCCCUUUGUACACACCGCCCGUCGCUCCUACCGAUUGAAUGAUCCGGUGAAUAAUUCGGACUGCAGCAGUGUUCAGUUCCUGAACGUUGCAGCGGAAAGUUUAGUGAACCUUAUCACUUAGAGGAAGGAGAAGUCGUAACA
This 326-nucleotide ribosomal RNA is filed under the name uncultured eukaryote. RNAcentral's name for it is "partial 18S ribosomal RNA". It matches the Rfam family "Eukaryotic small subunit ribosomal RNA", at positions 1470 to 1796 of the family's 1831-position model. The record is from RNAcentral.